CUCUGUGGGUUUCUCUGCUAAACUGACAUCAGUAGUUCAAGGUAGUAACUUCUCUACAGGUUCGUUUUUAACCUUGACAGGAUGAACAGAGGAAAAAAAACUAGAGCUCCAGUUCAUGGUGAGCACCCUUUCAAAUCACAAGCAAAGGUGGUGGUGUAAAGGAAAAAAAAAUGAUGAACCACAAACCUGUUUUUUCAAGCUUGGGGCUGUGAACUGUAAAAUCUA
Molecule: long non-coding RNA, 225 nt
Organism: Lepisosteus oculatus (spotted gar)
Lineage: Eukaryota; Metazoa; Chordata; Actinopteri; Semionotiformes; Lepisosteidae
Source: RefSeq, a predicted model, not a curated record